RNAcentral lists this ribosomal RNA (206 nucleotides) under uncultured Veillonellaceae bacterium. RNAcentral describes it as "partial 16S ribosomal RNA". It matches the Rfam family "Bacterial small subunit ribosomal RNA", at positions 568 to 774 of the family's 1533-position model. Lineage: Bacteria; Bacillati; Bacillota; Negativicutes; Veillonellales; Veillonellaceae. The record is from RNAcentral.
CAUGUAGGCGGGAAUCUAAGUCUGUUGUUAAAAUGCGGGGCUCAACCCCGUAUUGCGAUGGAAACUGGGUUUCUUGAGUGCAGGAGAGGAAAGGGGAAUUCCCAGUGUAGCGGUGAAAUGCGUAGAUAUUGGGAGGAACACCAGUGGCGAAGGCGCCUUUCUGGACUGUGUCUGACGCUGAGAUGCGAAAGCCAGGGUAGCGAACG